UAGGGAAUCUUCGGCAAUGGACGAAAGUCUGACCGAGCAACGCCGCGUGAGUGAAGAAGGUUUUCGGAUCGUAAAACUCUGUUGUUAGAGAAGAACAAGGACGUUAGUAACUGAACGUCCCCUGACGGUAUCUAACCAGAAAGCCACGGCUAACUACGUGCCAGCAGCCGCGGUAAUACGUAGGUGGCAAGCGUUGUCCGGAUUUAUUGGGCGUAAAGCGAGCGCAGGCGGUUUCUUAAGUCUGAUGUGAAAGCCCCCGGCUCAACCGGGGAGGGUCCUUGGAAACUGGGAGACUUGAGUGCAGAAGAGGAGAGUGGAAUUCCAUGUGUAGCGGUGAAAUGCGUAGAUAUAUGGAGGAACACCAGUGGCGAAGGCGGCUCUCUGGUCUGUUACUGACGCUGAGGCUCGAAAGCGUGGGGAGCAAACAGG
Molecule: ribosomal RNA, 429 nt
Filed under: Gemmatimonadota bacterium
Lineage: Bacteria; Pseudomonadati; Gemmatimonadota
Description: Gemmatimonadetes bacterium partial 16S ribosomal RNA
Rfam family: Bacterial small subunit ribosomal RNA
Source: RNAcentral